This 675-nucleotide unclassified non-coding RNA is filed under the name Hevea brasiliensis (rubber tree). Lineage: Eukaryota; Viridiplantae; Streptophyta; Magnoliopsida; Malpighiales; Euphorbiaceae. The record is from RNAcentral.
AAAUAUUCCAUCUGAGAUAGGUUUAUUGACAAAUCUUAAAAGCUUAACUCUAUCUCUUAAUCUGUUCAAUGGUCACAUCCCUUAUGCAUUUGGUAUGUUGAGGUCUCUUUCUGAUCUUUCUUUGUUUGAAAACAAUCUCACAAGUUCAAUCCCUAAUUCAAUAACAAACUUGGGAAAUCUAUCUAGUCUCUGCUUAAGGGGUAACAAACUCUCUGGUUUCAUACCUUCAAAUAUUGGGUUGCUGAUAUCUCUUAAUUAUCUUGAUUUGUCAAGUAAUGCUUUUGCUGGGAAAAUUCCUACUUCAAUUGGAAACUUGAGCAAAUUAUCCUACCUUGACUUUUCCAAGAAUCAGUUAAAUGGUGACAUACCUCGAGAAGUGAGUCAAUUGAGAAAUUUGUCGUCUCUAUGGCUUUUUUAUAAUCAACUUUCAGGAUCCAUUCCUUCUGUACUUGGAAACAUGACUAUUCUGGCCGAUUUAGCUUUGUAUGGAAAUAAUUUAUCUGGACAAGUUCCUCCAGAAUUAGGACAGCUUAAAUCCCUUCAAGUGUUGAAUUUGUUUUUCAACCAGCUCAAUGGUUCCCUGCCUAUGGAAAUCAAUAAUCUUACCCAUUUGAUGUCUCUGAGAUUGUCUGGAAACCAAUUCACUGGUCGUUUGCCAGAAAAUGUAUGCCUUGG